Molecule: ribosomal RNA, 702 nt
Filed under: uncultured bacterium
Lineage: Bacteria
Description: bacterial SSU rRNA
Rfam family: Bacterial small subunit ribosomal RNA
Source: RNAcentral
AACGAACGCUGGCGGCAGGCCUAACACAUGCAAGUCGAGCGAGAUCUUCGGAUCUAGCGGCGGACGGGUUAGUAACGCGUGGGAAUAUACCCUUUGGUACGGAAUAGCCUCGGGAAACUGGGAGUAAUACCGUAUGAGCCCUUCGGGGGAAAGAUUUAUCGCCAAAGGAUUAGCCCGCGUUGGAUUAGAUAGUUGGUGGGGUAAUGGCCUACCAAGUCGACGAUCCAUAGCUGGUUUGAGAGGAUGAUCAGCAACACUGGGACUGAGACACGGCCCAGACUCCUACGGGAGGCAGCAGUGGGGAAUCUUAGACAAUGGGCGCAAGCCUGAUCUAGCCAUGCCGCGUGGACGAUGAAGGCCUUAGGGUUGUAAAGUCCUUUCAGCUGGGAAGAUAAUGACGGUACCAGCAGAAGAAGCCCCGGCUAACUCCGUGCCAGCAGCCGCGGUAAUACGGAGGGGGCUAGCGUUGUUCGGAAUUACUGGACGUAAAGCGCACGUAGGCGGAUUAUUAAGUGAGGGGUGAAAUCCCAGGGCUCAACCCUGGAACUGCCUUUCAUACUGGUAGUCUUGAGUUCGAGAGAGGUGAGUGGAAUUCCGAGUGUAGAGGUGAAAUUCGUAGAUAUUCGGAGGAACACCAGUGGCGAAGGCGGCUCACUGGCUCGAUACUGACGCUGAGGUGCGAAAGCGUGGGGAGCAAACAGG